GCGCGCUUUCAAGCAGUCCCGAUCUAUGCGACUCACCGUGUCGCGUUGGCAUCGGGCGCUGCUAUAG
RNAcentral lists this microRNA precursor (67 nucleotides) under Human betaherpesvirus 6B. RNAcentral describes it as "microRNA hhv6b-mir-Ro6 precursor (hhv6b-mir-Ro6-1)". Its record names the gene hhv6b-mir-Ro6-1. Lineage: Duplodnaviria; Heunggongvirae; Peploviricota; Herviviricetes; Herpesvirales; Orthoherpesviridae. The record is from miRBase by way of RNAcentral.